GUGGGGAAUAUUGGACAAUGGGCGAAAGCCUGAUCCAGCCAUGCCGCGUGUGUGAAGAAGGUCUUCGGAUUGUAAAGCACUUUAAGUUGGGAGGAAGGGUAGUAAGUUAAUACCUUGCUGUUUUGACGUUACCGACAGAAUAAGCACCGGCUAACUUCGUGCCAGCAGCCGCGGUAAUACGAAGGGUGCAAGCGUUAAUCGGAAUUACUGGGCGUAAAGCGCGCGUAGGUGGUUUUGUAAGUUGGAGGUGAAAUCCCCGGGCUCAACCUGGGAACUGCCUCCAAAACUGCAUGACUAGAGUACGGUAGAGGGUAGUGGAAUUUCCUGUGUAGCGGUGAAAUGCGUAGAUAUAGGAAGGAACACCAGUGGCGAAGGCGACUACCUGGACUGAUACUGACACUGAGGUGCGAAAGCGUGGGGAGCAAACAGGAUUAGAUACCCGGGUAGUCC
This 450-nucleotide ribosomal RNA is filed under the name uncultured bacterium. RNAcentral's name for it is "partial 16S ribosomal RNA". It matches the Rfam family "Bacterial small subunit ribosomal RNA", at positions 354 to 796 of the family's 1533-position model. The record is from RNAcentral.